GAGUUUGAUCCUGGCUCAGGACGAACGCUGGCGGCGUGCCUAAUACAUGCAAGUCGAACGAACUCUGGUAUUGAUUGGUGCUUGCAUCAUGAUUUACAUUUGAGUGAGUGGCGAACUGGUGAGUAACACGUGGGAAACCUGCCCAGAAGCGGGGGAUAACACCUGGAAACAGAUGCUAAUACCGCAUAACAACUUGGACCGCAUGGUCCGAGCUUGAAAGAUGGCUUCGGCUAUCACUUUUGGAUGGUCCCGCGGCGCAUUAGCUAGAUGGUGGGGUAACGGCUCACCAUGGCAAUGAUACGUAGCCGACCUGAGAGGGUAAUCGGCCACAUUGGGACUGAGACACGGCCCAAACUCCUACGGGAGGCAGCAGUAGGGAAUCUUCCACAAUGGACGAAAGUCUGAUGGAGCAACGCCGCGUGAGUGAAGAAGGGUUUCGGCUCGUAAAACUCUGUUGUUAAAGAAGAACAUAUCUGAGAGUAACUGUUCAGGUAUUGACGGUAUUUAACCAGAAAGCCACGGCUAACUACGUGCCAGCAGCCGCGGUAAUGCGUAGGUGGCAAGCGUUGUCCGGAUUUAUUGGGCGUAAAGCGAGCGCAGGCGGUUUUUUAAGUCUGAUGUGAAAGCCUUCGGCUCAACCGAAGAAGUGCAUCGGAAACUGGGAAACUUGAGUGCAGAAGAGGACAGUGGAACUCCAUGUGUAGCGGUGAAAUGCGUAGAUAUAUGGAAGAACACCAGUGGCGAAGGCGGCUGUCUGGUCUGUAACUGACGCUGAGGCUCGAAAGUAUGGGUAGCAAACAGGAUUAGAUACCCUGGUAGUCCAUACCGUAAACGAUGAAUGCUAAGUGUUGGAGGGUUUCCGCCCUUCAGUGCUGCAGCUAACGCAUUAAGCAUUCCGCCUGGGGAGUACGGCCGCAAGGCUGAAACUCAAAGGAAUUGACGGGGGCCCGCACAAGCGGUGGAGCAUGUGGUUUAAUUCGAAGCUACGCGAAGAACCUUACCAGGUCUUGACAUACUAUGCAAAUCUAAGAGAUUAGACGUUCCCUUCGGGGACAUGGAUACAGGUGGUGCAUGGUUGUCGUCAGCUCGUGUCGUGAGAUGUUGGGUUAAGUCCCGCAACGAGCGCAACCCUUAUUAUCAGUUGCCAGCAUUAAGUUGGGCACUCUGGUGAGACUGCCGGUGACAAACCGGAGGAAGGUGGGGUUGACGUCAAAUCAUCAUGCCCCUUAUGACCUGGGCUACACACGUGCUACAAUGGAUGGUACAACGAGUUGCGAACUCGCGAGAGUAAGCUAAUCUCUUAAAGCCAUUCUCAGUUCGGAUUGUAGGCUGCAACUCGCCUACAUGAAGUCGGAAUCGCUAGUAAUCGCGGAUCAGCAUGCCGCGGUGAAUACGUUCCCGGGCCUUGUACACACCGCCCGUCACACCAUGAGAGUUUGUAACACCCAAAGUCGGUGGGGUAACCUUUUAGGAACCAGCCGCCUAAGGUGGGACAGAUGAUUAGGGUGAAGUCGUAACAAGGUAACC
Molecule: ribosomal RNA, 1527 nt
Filed under: Lactiplantibacillus plantarum
Lineage: Bacteria; Bacillati; Bacillota; Bacilli; Lactobacillales; Lactobacillaceae
Description: Lactobacillus plantarum partial 16S ribosomal RNA
Rfam family: Bacterial small subunit ribosomal RNA
Source: RNAcentral